This 253-nucleotide ribosomal RNA is filed under the name uncultured bacterium. RNAcentral describes it as "partial 16S ribosomal RNA". It matches the Rfam family "Bacterial small subunit ribosomal RNA", at positions 524 to 776 of the family's 1533-position model. The record is from RNAcentral.
GACAGAGGUGCCGAGCGUUAGGCGGAAUCACUGGGCUUAAAGCGUGUGUAGGCGGACUUCUAAGUACCUUGUGAAAUCCCACGGCUCAACCGUGGAACUGCUUGGUAUACUGGUUGUCUUGAGCCACUUAGGGGCAGUCGGAACAGACGGUGGAGCGGUGAAAUGCGUAGAUAUCGUCUGGAACGCCAAAGGUGAAAACAGGUUGCUGGGGGUGUGCUGACGCUGAGACACGAAAGCCAGGGGAGCGAACGGG